UGAUGCGGUAGAGGAGCGUUCUGUAAGCCUGUGAAGGUGAGUUGAGAAGCUUGCUGGAGGUAUCAGAAGUGCGAAUGCUGACAUGAGUAACGACAAUGCGAGUGAAAAACUCGCACGCCGAAAGACCAAGGUUUCCUGCGCAACGUUAAUCGACGCAGGGUUAGUCGGUCCCUAAGGCGAGGCUGAAAAGCGUAGUCGAUGGAAAACAGGUUAAUAUUCCUGUACUUCCAGUUAUUGCGAUGGAGGGACGGAGAAGGUUAGGCCAGCCUGGCGUUGGUUGUCCAGGUUUAAGGUGGUAGGCUGAAAUCUUAGGCAAAUCCGGGAUUUCAAGGCCGAGAGCUGAUGACGAGUUGCCUUUAGGCGACGAAGUGGUUGAUACCAUGCUUCCAAGAAAAGCUCCUAAGCUUCAGAUAACUGGGAACCGUACCCCAAACCGACACAGGUGGUUAGGUAGAGAAUACCAAGGCGCUUGAGAGAACUCGGGUGAAGGAACUAGGCAAAAUGGCACCGUAACUUCGGGAGAAGGUGCGCCGGCGAGGGUGAAGGACUUGCUCCGUAAGCUCAUGCCGGUCGAAGAUACCAGGCCGCUGCGACUGUUUAUUAAAAACACAGCACUCUGCAAACACGAAAGUGGACGUAUAGGGUGUGACGCCUGCCCGGUGCCGGAAGGUUAAUUGAUGGGGUUAGCGCAAGCGAAGCUCUUGAUCGAAGCCCCGGUAAACGGCGGCCGUAACUAUAACGGUCCUAAGGUAGCGAAAUUCCUUGUCGGGUAAGUUCCGACCUGCACGAAUGGCGUAACGAUGGCGGCGCUGUCUCCACCCGAGACUCAGUGAAAUUGAAAUCGCUGUGAAGAUGCAGUGUAUCCGCGGCUAGACGGAAAGACCCCGUGAACCUUUACUAUAGCUUUGCACUGGACUUUGAAUUUGCUUGUGUAGGAUAGGUGGGAGGCUUUGAAGUGGGGACGCCAGUUCUCAUGGAGCCAUCCUUGAAAUACCACCCUGGCAACUUUGAGGUUCUAACUCAGGUCCGUUAUCCGGAUCGAGGACAGUGUAUGGUGGGUAGUUUGACUGGGGCGGUCUCCUCCCAAAGAGUAACGGAGGAGUACGAAGGUGCGCUCAGACCGGUCGGAAAUCGGUCGUAGAGUAUAAAGGCAAAAGCGCGCUUGACUGCGAGACAAACACGUCGAGCAGGUACGAAAGUAGGUCUUAGUGAUCCGGUGGUUCUGUAUGGAAGGGCCAUCGCUCAACGGAUAAAAGGUACUCCGGGGAUAACAGGCUGAUACCGCCCAAGAGUUCAUAUCGACGGCGGUGUUUGGCACCUCGAUGUCGGCUCAUCACAUCCUGGGGCUGAAGCCGGUCCCAAGGGUAUGGCUGUUCGCCAUUUAAAGUGGUACGCGAGCUGGGUUUAGAACGUCGUGAGACAGUUCGGUCCCUAUCUGCCGUGGACGUUUGAGAUUUGAGAGGGGCUGCUCCUAGUACGAGAGGACCGGAGUGGACGAACCUCUGGUGUUCCGGUUGUCACGCCAGUGGCAUUGCCGGGUAGCUAUGUUCGGAAGAGAUAACCGCUGAAAGCAUCUAAGCGGGAAACUUGCCUCAAGAUGAGAUCUCACUGGGAUCUUGAAUCCCCUAAAGGGCCGUCGAAGACUACGACGUUGAUAGGUUGGGUGUGUAAGCGCUGUGAGGCGUUGAGCUAACCAAUACUAAUUGCCCGUGAGGCUUGACCAU
Molecule: ribosomal RNA, 1724 nt
Filed under: Pseudomonas sp. OG7
Lineage: Bacteria; Pseudomonadati; Pseudomonadota; Gammaproteobacteria; Pseudomonadales; Pseudomonadaceae
Also listed under: 1 other name
Description: partial 23S ribosomal RNA
Rfam family: Bacterial large subunit ribosomal RNA
Source: RNAcentral